RNAcentral lists this transfer RNA (82 nucleotides) under Candidatus Zhuqueibacterota bacterium. RNAcentral's name for it is "candidate division KSB1 bacterium (freshwater sediment metagenome) tRNA-Leu". It matches the Rfam family "tRNA". Rfam says of the family: Transfer RNA (tRNA) molecules are approximately 80 nucleotides in length. Their secondary structure includes four short double-helical elements and three loops (D, anti-codon, and T loops). Lineage: Bacteria; Pseudomonadati. The record is from RNAcentral.
GCGAGAGUGGCGGAACUGGCAGACGCGCUAGACUUAGGAUCUAGUACCUCCGGGUGUGGGGGUUCGACUCCCCCCUCUCGCA